UUGUAUCUUGUAAGUCGUAAGUUCGAAGAUUGUGGUUGUUCGUUGAUUACUUUACACGCGAUUGCAACAGAGAAGUCAAACCAAGGAAAUGUGUGAUCUACAAAUCGGCAGGCUGUCUAAGUGUGACAAAAGCAUCUCCUUUCCAAGACUAAGAGUGUAUCAAGCUUCAUUACGGGUUCCUUCUGAAAACAACUUCAGCUCAAGAUUUUAAAAGUUCAACCUGCAGACGGGCCGGCCAGUUUGCAUAUCCUUCAAGCUUGAAGGUCGAGGGAAACAUUGUGUAAAACUGUCAAUGCGGCGGUGUAGAGGUUGGGUGAGAACUGGACGUGUUUCAUCAUUAUCAUGCAGACCCAUCCCCAUCAACGUCAACCUAAAGAAGGAAAGGCUAGUUUGCAUUUCCUUC
This is a long non-coding RNA of Daphnia pulex (common water flea), 403 nucleotides long. RefSeq lists it as uncharacterized. The transcript has 3 exons. The record is from RefSeq and is a predicted model, not a curated record. Lineage: Eukaryota; Metazoa; Arthropoda; Branchiopoda; Diplostraca; Daphniidae.